RNAcentral lists this ribosomal RNA (495 nucleotides) under uncultured bacterium. RNAcentral describes it as "partial 16S ribosomal RNA". It matches the Rfam family "Bacterial small subunit ribosomal RNA", at positions 28 to 507 of the family's 1533-position model. The record is from RNAcentral.
GAUGAACGCUGGCGGCGUGCCUAAUACAUGCAAGUCGAACGCUGAAGGAGGAGCUUGCUCUUCUGGAUGAGUUGCGAACGGGUGAGUAACGCGUAGGUAACCUGCCUGGUAGCGGGGGAUAACUAUUGGAAACGAUAGCUAAUACCGCAUGACAACAGUUAUUGCAUGAUAACUGUUUAAAAGGGGCAACUGCUCCACUACCAGAUGGACCUGCGUUGUAUUAGCUAGUUGGUGAGGUAACGGCUCACCAAGGCGACGAUCCAUAGCCGCCCGGAGAGGGUGAUCGGCCACACUGGGACUGAGACACGGCCCAGACUCCUACGGGAGGCAGCAGUAGGGAAUCUUCGGCAAGGGACGGAAGUCUGACCGAGCAACGCCGCGUGAGGGGAGAAGGUUUUCGGAUCGUAAAGCUCGGUUGUAAGAGAAGAACGAGUGUGAGAGUGGAAAGUUCACACUGUGACGGUAUCUUACCAGAAAGGGACGGCUAACUACGUG